GAUGAACGCUGGCGGCGUGCCUAAUACAUGCAAGUAGAACGCUGAAGGAGGAGCUUGCUCUUCUGGAUGAGUUGCGAACGGGUGAGUAACGCGUAGGUAACCUGCCUGGUAGCGGGGGAUAACUAUUGGAAACGAUAGCUAAUACCGCAUGACAACAGUUAUUGCAUGAUAACUGUUUAAAAGGGGCAACUGCUCCACUACCAGAUGGACCUGCGUUGUAUUAGCUAGUUGGUGAGGUAACGGCUCACCAAGGCGACGAUACAUAGCCGACCUGAGAGGGUGAGCGGCCACACUGGGACUGAGACACGGCCCAGAAUCCUACGGGAGGCAGCAGUAGGGAAUCUUCGGCAAUGGACGGAAGUCUGACCGAGCAACGCCGCGUGAGUGAAGAAGGUUUUCGGAUCGUAAAGCUCUGUUGUAAGAGAAGAACGAGUGUGAGAGUGGAAAGUUCACACUGUGACGGUAUCUUACCAGAAAGGGACGGCUAACUACGUG
This 495-nucleotide ribosomal RNA is filed under the name uncultured bacterium. Its description in RNAcentral is "partial 16S ribosomal RNA". It matches the Rfam family "Bacterial small subunit ribosomal RNA", at positions 28 to 507 of the family's 1533-position model. The record is from RNAcentral.